AGAGUUUGAUCCUGGCUCAGAUUGAACGCUGGCGGCAGGCUUAACACAUGCAAGUCGAGCGGAGAGAGGUAGCUUGCUACUGAUCUUAACGGCGGACGGGUGAGUAAUGCUUAGGAAUCUGCCUAUUAGUGGGGGACAACAUCUCGAAAGGGAUGCUAAUACCGCAUACGUCCUACGGGAGAAAGCAGGGGAUCUUCGGACCUUGCGCUAAUAGAUGAGCCUAAGUCGGAUUAGCUAGUUGGUGGGGUAAAGGCCUACCAAGGCGACGAUCUGUAGCGGGUCUGAGAGGAUGAUCCGCCACACUGGGACUGAGACACGGCCCAAACUCCUACGGGAGGCAGCAGUGGGGAAUAUUGGACAAUGGGGGGAACCCUGAUCCAGCCAUGCCGCGUGUGUGAAGAAGGCCUUAUGGUUGUAAAGCACUUUAAGCGAGGAGGAGGCUACUUUAGUUAAUACCUAGAGAUAGUGGACGUUACUCGCAGAAUAAGCACCGGCUAACUCUGUGCCAGCAGCCGCGGUAAUACAGAGGGUGCAAGCGUUAAUCGGAUUUACUGGGCGUAAAGCGCGCGUAGGCGGCUAAUUAAGUCAAAUGUGAAAUCCCCGAGCUUAACUUGGGAAUUGCAUUCGAUACUGGUUAGCUAGAGUGUGGGAGAGGAUGGUAGAAUUCCAGGUGUAGCGGUGAAAUGCGUAGAGAUCUGGAGGAAUACCGAUGGCGAAGGCAGCCAUCUGGCCUAACACUGACGCUGAGGUGCGAAAGCAUGGGGAGCAAACAGGAUUAGAUACCCUGGUAGUCCAUGCCGUAAACGAUGUCUACUAGCCGUUGGGGCCUUUGAGGCUUUAGUGGCGCAGCUAACGCGAUAAGUAGACCGCCUGGGGAGUACGGUCGCAAGACUAAAACUCAAAUGAAUUGACGGGGGCCCGCACAAGCGGUGGAGCAUGUGGUUUAAUUCGAUGCAACGCGAAGAACCUUACCUGGCCUUGACAUAGUAAGAACUUUCCAGAGAUGGAUUGGUGCCUUCGGGAACUUACAUACAGGUGCUGCAUGGCUGUCGUCAGCUCGUGUCGUGAGAUGUUGGGUUAAGUCCCGCAACGAGCGCAACCCUUUUCCUUAUUUGCCAGCGAGUAAUGUCGGGAACUUUAAGGAUACUGCCAGUGACAAACUGGAGGAAGGCGGGGACGACGUCAAGUCAACAUGGCCCUUACGGCCAGGGCUACACACGUGCUACAAUGGUCGGUACAAAGGGUUGCUACACAGCGAUGUGAUGCUAAUCUCAAAAAGCCGAUCGUAGUCCGGAUUGGAGUCUGCAACUCGACUCCAUGAAGUCGGAAUCGCUAGUAAUCGCGGAUCAGAAUGCCGCGGUGAAUACGUUCCCGGGCCUUGUACACACCGCCCGUCACACCAUGGGAGUUUGUUGCACCAGAAGUAGCUAGCCUAACUGCAAAGAGGGCGGUUACCACGGUGUGGCCGAUGACUGGGGUGAAGUCGUAACAAGGUAGCCGUAGGGGAACCUGCGGCUUGGAUCACCUCCUUA
This 1532-nucleotide ribosomal RNA is filed under the name Acinetobacter sp. BCT-1. RNAcentral's name for it is "16S ribosomal RNA". It matches the Rfam family "Bacterial small subunit ribosomal RNA". The record is from RNAcentral. Lineage: Bacteria; Pseudomonadati; Pseudomonadota; Gammaproteobacteria; Moraxellales; Moraxellaceae.